AUGCAGUGUUAUCAGAGCAGCCCAAACAGCCGGGUGCUCCUCUUCGGGCAGGAGAGCUGGGUGGGAAGCUGCAGGAGCCAACGCUUUGCCCAUGUCCUCUUGAAACCCCAGUCUGCCACACGCUGCAAGCAGCACUGCAAGCCUGGCGGUCCCAGGCUGUGGCAGCAGGAGACAUGGAGCUGCUGCAGGCCCUCCUGCAUGCCAGAGAAUGAGCUACAGGAGACACCGACCAUCAUCCCAGUACUUCUGCUGUCUCCUAGCUGCCUGAGAUAUGGUCUCCUCCAUGUGCCAAAUACCCAAAAGGAGCACAUGCUCCUCUUGAAAUUAAUUUAUAUUUUAAAUAAUUUGAAAUUAAUGUGGACAAGGUCCUCAGUGGUGGACUGUACAGAAACACCUUUGCAUUAUCUGGAGAUAAUCAGAUUUUCUUUGCAGUUUAGCUUCAAAGAACAUACCUUCCAGGAAAGAAUAUUUCUGGAAAUAGCAGAGGAGCUCAAGGAUCGUUGCAGUCAUGCCACAGGGCACCAUUAAAUAAAGCAACCUUCUCUGUCGUCAUAAUCAUGAUGGAAUGACUUGGAAGGAAAACAAACCACGGCUGUAGAUGCAGUAGCUGCAAGCACCAAAUCUCCAAAGACAUCUUCAAAAUAAGGGCAGAUAUAUCACAGCAAGGAACAAAACGCCUCAGUACUUGUUUGGGACCAUUUGUUUCGCCGAGCCCCUGCAGGUGGUCAUUGUGCUGCUCGGGAUAAUUUGCAUCGCUCUCAGCUGCUGAGGACAGAAACCCAACACCCAGACCCUGCUCCAGCACAGCAAACAGCCACACGUUUAAAGACUGAAGGAUUACAUCUUCCUAAGCAUGUUUUUAAUUAACACACAAAUGUGUCAUCCUAAAAGGGAGCUCAGAAGCCUGGCUCUCAGUUACCCCAAACCAGAUUUAUGGGCUGUAUGUGAAGUGGUUAGCAAAGACAUUUAAAAACAAUUAGGCUCUUGGAGAGGCAGAUUCAAGCAGCCCAGACUGCUCUCAUUAUGCUGGAGAACGGGAAAAUAAAGCCAUUAGGCUCACCA
This 1062-nucleotide long non-coding RNA is filed under the name Anas platyrhynchos platyrhynchos (common mallard). RNAcentral describes it as "lncRNA (ENSAPLG00000030744.1)". The record is from RNAcentral. Lineage: Eukaryota; Metazoa; Chordata; Aves; Anseriformes; Anatidae.